Molecule: long non-coding RNA, 470 nt
Organism: Clarias gariepinus (North African catfish)
Lineage: Eukaryota; Metazoa; Chordata; Actinopteri; Siluriformes; Clariidae
Exons: 3
Source: RefSeq, a predicted model, not a curated record
AAUAAUUGAUUUUGUAUAAAACAUCAGAGGUAAGAAAUGCACAAGUACACAACAGAUUAUUUUAUAUGGAGUAAAAUGUGUAUAUUUGCUUGAGUAUGCUCUUUAUUUUAAUGUCAGGACUAAUUGAGAAACAAAAGAGGAAACUAAAGGGUGUGUUUAUAGCAACUCGUGUUAACCACAUACUCUUUCUCUCACGCUCUUCUUUAGUUGUAGAUUGGUCUCUGGACGUGUGGGUAGAGAAGGCACAACGUUCUCCAGCAGUGUUUUCCCUCACAAUGAUUUCUACACUUUAUCUGGUCUUUCUGUUGAUGAUCUCAGGAGCUCUUGGGAAUGAAUGGAGUGUGACAUACAACCCAGAACAUCUCUGUGCUUUAAAUGAAUCUACAGUGUUUAUGAACGGCUCGUACACACACCCAGCAUAUUUUACAGUGAAAAAGGCAUUUUGGGUAAUAAACCCAGUUAAGGGUAAA